Cyprinus carpio carpio is the source of this 1018-nucleotide long non-coding RNA. NCBI's taxonomy places the organism in Eukaryota, Metazoa, Chordata, Actinopteri, Cypriniformes, Cyprinidae. The record is from Ensembl.
CUUUUUUUAUUUAUUAUACUAUUAACAAAAGCAAAAAAGGCUUCUAACGCUAGCUUGUUCUAUUCUUUUUCUAUUCUAUCUGUUUUCUUUUUAUUUAUUAUAUAAUUUCAAAAACCCUUGCUAUGUGUGCUUCGUUAAGCUAACUGAGACUUGUUAUAGCACUUGUAUAUCAUUGCUCUUUUGCUGAUUUUGAUUGCUUCCAUUGUCCUCAUUUGUAAGUCGCUUUGGAUAAAAGCGUCUGCUAAAUGUAAUGUAAUAGCCUAUUCAAAUAAUUAUAUAAGUUAAUAUUAAACUUAGCAUUUGAAUAGUCUGUAACUAUAUACAUAUACAUACAAGGUUAAGUAUAUAGAGCUUUUUAAACUGAUGAAGCUUGUUUCUUUUGAGCUCCUAGUGAUAUAAAUUAUUUCCAUUCGGUCGAUUCACUUGCAUUGAUAUAGUGAGUAGCUGCCUUCUCAAACUUUCACUGCAGCAGUGUUUAUUCCUGCCUUAUAAAUGUAUUUCAGUUCUUGGUAUUUUUUCAUAACAAUCUCUUCAUCUUCGCAAGAAGUCAAUCAAACUGAUGCUCUCCAUGUUCCGUGUGAUUGGCAGUUUGCCGCACCGGUGUGCAACAGCUGAUCCUGGUUGGGUUUGUCAGGGUUUGUCAACUCAAAACUUCCUCUGAAACUCUGAGGUUGCUCAUCUUGCUUCGUGCUACAGGCCACAGGAUAAGUUUACAAAGCAAGUUACCAUGGAUGGACACACAGCUACACAUAGGCUACAGCCUGUGUUAUUAGUAUUUUUAUCAAGCACUUUUUUACUUAAAAGUUAAAUAAAAACUUUACUGUACUUAAAUGUUAAGUACAAUACAUUUUCAUUUAAUCUUUAUUUAAGUACAGUUUUUAUUUAACUGUUAGGGACAAUAAAUUGUAAUAAUUAUUUGUUUUUUAUUUACCUGGAUAUAAACACAGUGCAGUGUUAAUGUUCAAACUUUGAAUUUACAAUCUUAGAGUGGCCGACAAUAAUAAAUAUUCUUAUUGGG